RNAcentral lists this ribosomal RNA (686 nucleotides) under uncultured bacterium. RNAcentral's name for it is "bacterial SSU rRNA". It matches the Rfam family "Bacterial small subunit ribosomal RNA", at positions 32 to 715 of the family's 1533-position model. The record is from RNAcentral.
AACGCUAGCUACAGGCUUAACACAUGCAAGUCGAGGGGCAUCAGGGUAGCAAUACCGCUGGCGACCGGCGCACGGGUGAGUAACACGUAUCCAACCUACCGUUAACUCGGGGAUAGCCUUUCGAAAGAAAGAUUAAUACCCGAUAGUAUAUUUUCUUCGCAUGUUGAAAAUAUUAAAGAAUUUCGGUUAUCGAUGGGGAUGCGUUCCAUUAGGCAGUUGGCGGGGUAACGGCCCACCAAACCUACGAUGGAUAGGGGUUCUGAGAGGAAGGUCCCCCACAUUGGAACUGAGACACGGUCCAAACUCCUACGGGAGGCAGCAGUGAGGAAUAUUGGUCAAUGGACGCGAGUCUGAACCAGCCAAGUAGCGUGAAGGAUGACUGCCCUAUGGGUUGUAAACUUCUUUUAUAUGGGAAUAAAGUUCUCCACGUGUGGAGUUUUGUAUGUACCAUUAUGAAUAAGCAUCGGCUAACUCCGUGCCAGCAGCCGCGGUAAUACGGAGGAUGCAAGCGUUAUCCGGAUUUAUUGGGUUUAAAGGGAGCGUAGGUGGACUGGUAAGUCAGUUGUGAAAGUUUGCGGCUCAACCGUAAAAUUGCAGUUGAUACUGUCAGUCUUGAGUACAGUAGAGGUGGGCGGAAUUCGUGGUGUAGCGGUGAAAUGCUUUGAUAUCACGAAGAACUCCGAUUG